AGGAUGAACGCUGGCGGCGUGCUUAACACAUGCAAGUCGAACGGUGAAAGAGGAGCUUGCUCCUCUGGAUCAGUGGCGAACGGGUGAGUAACACGUGAGUAACCUGCCCUUGACUCUGGGAUAAGCGUUGGAAACGACGUCUAAUACCGGAUACGACCUCCGAAGGCAUCUUCUGGAGGUGGAAAGAAUUUCGGUCAAGGAUGGACUCGCGGCCUAUCAGCUAGUUGGUGAGGUAAUGGCCCACCAAGGCGACGACGGGUAGCCGGCCUGAGAGGGUGACCGGCCACACUGGGACUGAGACACGGCCCAGACUCCUACGGGAGGCAGCAGUGGGGAAUAUUGCACAAUGGGCGCAAGCCUGAUGCAGCAACGCCGCGUGAGGGACGACGGCCUUCGGGUUGUAAACCUCUUUAGUAGGGACGAAGCGAAAGUGACGGUACCUGCAGAAGAAGCACCGGCUAACUACGUGCCAGAGCCGC
RNAcentral lists this ribosomal RNA (479 nucleotides) under uncultured bacterium. RNAcentral describes it as "SSU rRNA". It matches the Rfam family "Bacterial small subunit ribosomal RNA", at positions 26 to 518 of the family's 1533-position model. The record is from RNAcentral.